Molecule: ribosomal RNA, 253 nt
Filed under: uncultured bacterium
Lineage: Bacteria
Description: partial 16S ribosomal RNA
Rfam family: Bacterial small subunit ribosomal RNA
Source: RNAcentral
UACGGAGGGUGCGAGCGUUGUCCGGAAUCACUGGGCGUAAAGGGCGCGUAGGCGGCCUGGUAAGUCGGGGGUGAAAUCCUGCGGCUUAACCGCAGGGCUGCCUUCUAAACUGUCAGGCUCGAGCACGGUAGAGGCAGAUGGAAUUCCCGGUGUAGCGGUGAAAUGCGCAGAUAUCAGGAGGAACACCAAUUGCGAAGGCAGCUCGCUGGGACGUGACUGACGCUGAGACGCGAAAGCGUGGGGAGCAAACAGG